This 254-nucleotide ribosomal RNA is filed under the name uncultured bacterium. RNAcentral's name for it is "partial 16S ribosomal RNA". It matches the Rfam family "Bacterial small subunit ribosomal RNA", at positions 524 to 776 of the family's 1533-position model. The record is from RNAcentral.
UACGAAGGGGGCUAGCGUUGCUCGGAAUCACUGGGCGUAAAGCGCACGUAGGCGGACUCUUAAGUCGGUGGUGAAAUCCUGGAGCUCAACUCCAGAACUGCCUCCGAUACUGGGAGCCUUCGAGUCCGGGAGAGGUGAGUGGAACUGCGAGUGUAGAGGUGAAAUUCGUAGAUAUUCGCAAGAACACCAGUGGCGAAGGCGGCUCACUGGCCCGGUACUGACGCUCAGGUGCGAAAGCCAGGGGAGCGAACGGG